Nothoprocta perdicaria is the source of this 860-nucleotide long non-coding RNA. RefSeq lists it as uncharacterized. NCBI's taxonomy places the organism in Eukaryota, Metazoa, Chordata, Aves, Tinamiformes, Tinamidae. The record is from RefSeq and is a predicted model, not a curated record. The transcript has 3 exons.
AUAGCAUUUAAGGAAAAAGUUCCAGAAAAGGCAUUGCCUCAAAAGGGCAGCUGUGUCUGAGUUCUCUGCUUCUCUGCACUGCUCAGACGAGACACUGCAGAGCUCAACCUGCGUUACCACGUUCAGCAAAGCACUGUGCAGCAGGAGGCCCUCUGAGUAUGUGUGUGUGCGCGUAGUGCGGAUCUUUUACAGGAUCCCUUGUCCUGUACCUGCUCCCCGGAUCACCGGCUCUCUCCGUCAAUAAGAGAAAGGCCAAUGUCCGCAGGGGGGUCAUCCCUCCUAGCUGCACGCUGCUCUUGGACAGCAUGGAUCACUUCCCAGAUCUCCGAGGCCUCCGUGCUGAAGCCUGCGCAUGUGGAUAUUGCUCCUUCCAGGGACUGGUGACUGCCAGAGCUGUGGAGUGUGACAAUGGUGUUUGUGUCCAGUCUAUCAAACGCCAUUAUCACACUAAAUAGCUACUGGAAGAGAAGGCAUCAAUUUAGGAAAAAGCAUGAACUGUGGCAAUAUGUUUUCCCUCCAGGCUGAGGAAGAUGCAGCUUUGUCAAUGUGUUUCAGGAUGACUGUGCUCUUCUACAUGGAAACCACCUUAAUACAUGAGACAUGAAUGCUCUGCUAUAUGCCUCCAGAUUCCCACCGUAAAGCAGCAGGCAUCACCUUAGUGCUGCAUAUUUGCUUCCUUGGGAGAUAUGAGUCAUGCUCAGACACAGGGAUUAUAGUUUUUCUUGCAAGUGGCUUUUUUAGUCUCUUAAAAUGAGAUCCCUGUUGAGUUAGAGCUAAUGUUGUAAAAUGUGUCUUAAGCUGCUUUGCAAGUAUUUAACACCAAUUAAUUGAAGAGCUGCAGUCUGAAGCGUAUUCCUCUU